This is a long non-coding RNA of Brassica napus (rape), 1019 nucleotides long. RefSeq lists it as uncharacterized. The record is from RefSeq and is a predicted model, not a curated record. The transcript is spliced from 2 exons. Lineage: Eukaryota; Viridiplantae; Streptophyta; Magnoliopsida; Brassicales; Brassicaceae.
UGUAUAUUCCCAAUUAAUUUCAAAAAUUUUGUCAUUUCAUAAAAAAAAUUGAAAUCUUAAGAAUUGUAUCUUUUCAUUAUAAAAGUUGUGUCUUUUCUAAUGGUUAAGUUUAUUAAUACUUUGUAAUCUAACGGACAUGGUCAUCUCUCAUUUAUAAGAUCCGACGUCAUCAAUCUCGUUCACCAAAAGGCGUCUCAGUCAACUGCUAUCUGAACGAUGCACCCCUUAUACAUCCGCCUCUUCUCAAAGGACACCUCAUUUGCCUCCUUUUGGAUACAACACGUCUCUAAAAUCCAUCUAUACAUUGAACUUUCAGAGUUCUUAUCCCUUUAAAUAUUCCAUCAUCAAUCUAUCUCUUUAUAUUUUCCAUCAUCCUCGUCCAGAUUAAGAUGUAAGAAUUCCUCUCAGACAAUUCAUCACCAUCGUCGUACAUGGACAGACUUUUCAAAAGAAAUUAAUUGUUUGGUACUGCGUGGGAGGAGAUGGAGUGAAUCACGUAGUCUUUUGGCCAAAGAACAAUCUAUCUUCCCAAGUUUUUUUACUGCAGUUAGUUGAAAUGUAGUUUUACUCAAUUUUCGUUGAGCGUUUCUGUAUUUCUGUUAAUUGCCGUUUGACGUUUUCUAGCAGAAUUGAUCUGGGAGUCGCUUUUGUAUCAUUUUUAAGUUUUUUCAAAAAAAAUUGAUCCAGAUUAUUGAGUUAUGAUUAAAGGAGUUUGAAGAGGAAAAUAAACAAUUACUAACGAGUAUGGUCAAGCACAGCCUUAAUAACAUCCAUAAGUGCAUCACUCACGCGUGUGCCUUGCAGGGCCGGCUUACAAGGGGGGACAAGCGGUGCGACCGCCCCGGGUCCGAGCCCGUGUCCCUCCGUGUAAUGAUAAAUAAGGGGCCCAAUUUUUUAUAAAUCUAUAUUUUUAUAUAUAAAAAAAUUAUAAAUACAAUAAAUAAAAUUGAAAAGGGCCCAAAAUUAUUUGAUAUGUAUAUAGUUUUAUUUUCAUUACAAAAUAUACAAAAUAUUAUUGA